Anopheles gambiae (African malaria mosquito) is the source of this 1500-nucleotide long non-coding RNA. RefSeq lists it as uncharacterized. The transcript is spliced from 3 exons. NCBI's taxonomy places the organism in Eukaryota, Metazoa, Arthropoda, Insecta, Diptera, Culicidae. The record is from RefSeq and is a predicted model, not a curated record.
AAAAAAAUAACAAAACACCCAAUACAAUCAAUAUCAUUGUCGAUAGGCGAAAGGAUUAUGGCAGCCGCGGGGGUCUUUCUCUAUGAUUCGAUGUUCGCUUAUCGAUGCGUGUUAAUAACCUCACUCGUCUGCCUUAUGGUAUGCGGGGAAUCGUUUGCGGUGGAUUACACUGUUCGCUAUUUGUGGUGAGUAUCAUCGAAUGAAAGCGCAUCAUUUUACACCAAACACCCUCCCAAAUAAGAACAUUCCACUUGAAGCACCUUCGCAACAUCAAAAGAAACGGUACAUGCGGACACCGGGACAGAACAGAAUCAGCACAAAAAUGCCCCACUCCACAGAGGGGUAGUGGGUGAAACGUGGUAUGUGAAACGUGCACGAGCCCAACCGGAAAGUAUAAUGUUUCCGUUACUGUGGUGGUGGCGUCGGCGGCGUGCCGUGUGUGUUGCAAUGCAUUCGUGAAAACAGAACACUGUGCCGAAAUGGCAAUUACAGAACAACACCUCGAACGAGAGCUUGGAGCAUACAACCAGACAGGCGCCAGCUGCGAGCGGGGGAAAAAACAGACACAAACUGAGGAAGCUCACCCAAAGCUCAAGGCCAAAUUCCAUCAGCACCAGGCAGGAAAAACUGAUUGAAAAAUGCGCACCGAAACGCGCUGAGGAGAAGUAACAGCGCCCGGCAACAUCAUCGCCGAAUCAGCGUCGAUCAACCAAUUGCUCGAUUAUUAAUGGCACCGUAACCUAAAUAGCGCCGGCUUCAGUACACCGUGUGCGACCAUUUCUUUCUAUGUUCGAUCGCUCGCCAAACGAACGCUUGACAAAUGAAACGUGUAUGUACAGCGUAUGUGUACAGCAUAAAUCCAACACACGAACACACAUACCAGGUGGUGUUGGUAUUUAAUUUUACCCCAAAAUGUUACCCCUUGUUUCUUCCAUCUCCCCUUCAGUGGUCAGAGCCAACAUGUGAAGCAUGUUUGGCAAAGCGUCUGGUGUGAAUUAUGCUUUUGGCUGGCGUAACGACUAGACGACGACGACGGGGACCGGGGCUGGCUGGCUGGCUGGCUUGUAAUUCUAGUAUCUCGGUCUAAAUUGGACUCCGAGGUUUGCAAAAGGGUGGUUGUUUUGGGGGGGUGUGCGCAUGAAACAGCAUUACCAUUAUAUCAUCAGUCCGGCAAACGGCUGGGAUUUGGUAAAAUCGAAGCCUAAUGAGCCGCUUAAAGGUAAGCUUUUACAAUAAAUAAAUAAAUAGAUUGAUUCAUAACGCUCAUCCAUAAUAUUAGUAAUGCAUCGGAGCAAGCGUUGUGUUGGGGAGGGAAGUUGGUGUGAAAAAUUACCCAUUUAUGGAAAUAAUUAAAUCACAGGAAGACGGCGAUUCCAAUUAGAAUUAUAUUGAUUGCAAGCGUAUUAGAAAAUGUUGUUGCUUAUAUAUGAUUUUCAUACAGAUACAUGACAAAGGUUGACGUACAUACAAUUUUUUGAAUAAAACAAAAAACAUUAUAAU